UUUUUCUCAGUCAUGGAGGGCAGAGAGAAGAGAGCGCUUCACUUCUUGAUCUUCGCUGCUUAUCUCGUGGUCUCAUCUUCACCUUCUGCAGGUCUGAUCAGAUUAGCUGGAUCUGGGUCCACUCAGUGCUCUGGAAGAGUUGAAAUCUAUAACUCUUACUCUUACCCUUACUAUUCCUGGGGAACAGUGUGUGAUGAUGGCUGGGACUUACAAGAUGCUGAG
Oreochromis niloticus (Nile tilapia) is the source of this 222-nucleotide long non-coding RNA. RefSeq lists it as uncharacterized. The transcript has 3 exons. The record is from RefSeq and is a predicted model, not a curated record. Lineage: Eukaryota; Metazoa; Chordata; Actinopteri; Cichliformes; Cichlidae.